RNA transcript from Pistacia vera, 6012 nucleotides. RefSeq lists it as uncharacterized. Lineage: Eukaryota; Viridiplantae; Streptophyta; Magnoliopsida; Sapindales; Anacardiaceae. The transcript has 4 exons. The record is from RefSeq and is a predicted model, not a curated record.
CACUCUCUUUCUCUACCUCUGCACUCACGCCUUCUCGCUGAGCCCUUUUCGGUCUUUUUACCACGAUCCCCUUCUCUCAUAAUCAGACGGCCCACACCUCUCCACGUCACCAUCGUCUUCUUCAUCAUCAUCAUCAACAACAUCAUCACCUCUCACUCUUUCUUCUCGCUAUCUCCUUAUAUUAUUAAACCGCCUCUUUCUUAGGGUUUCUCUCAUUGACAAAUAUAUCCAAAAUCAUGAUGACACCUGUCUCCGAAAAUAUCCGCCACUUCUUGUACCGUAGAUGACGUUUCGAAUUUCGUGUUCAACUCUUCAAUUCCUAAUUCAAUCUCAAUAUCUCGCGAAUGAGUUACCGUGAAAAUUUUGAAAUUUGGUGAUUUAAAGGAGUUUUGAGUUAGGAUUUGUGAUUAAUGGCGAUAGAGAAGAAUAAUUUCAAGGUUUCGCGUUUUGAUUCGGAGUUUUCCCCGGAUAGUAGGGGGACUAUGUCAAGUGAUGAGGAUGAGCUUCAAAGACGAAGCUCAGCCGUUGAUGAAUCAUCUGAUGAUGAUGAAUAUGAUGAUGCUGAUUCAGGUGCUGGUUCGGAUGACUUUGACUUGCUUGAAUUAGGUGAAACUGGGGCGGAGUUCUGCCAAAUUGGGAACUUAACUUGUACUGUUCCUUUUGAAUUGUAUGAUCUUUCCGGUUUAGAAGAUAUAUUGUCUGUUGAUGUGUGGAAUGAAUUGUUAACUGAUGAGGAGAAGUUUGGGUUAGCCAAGUAUUUACCUGAUAUGGAUCAAGAUACUUUUAUGAGGACGUUGAAGGCGCUUUUUGAGGCUGAGAAUUUCCACUUUGGGAGUCCCAUUAAGAAGCUGUUUGAUAUGUUGAAAGGGGGCUUGUGUGAGCCAAGAGUGGCGCUUUAUCGGGAGGGAUUGAAUUUCUUUCAGAAGCGGCAACAUUAUCAUCAUUUGAGGAAGCAUCAGAAUACUAUGGUUAGCAAUCUUUGUCAGAUGAGGGAUGCGUGGAGUAAUUGUAGGGGGUAUAGUAUUGAGGAGAAGCUUAGGGUUUUGAAUAUUAUGAAGAGUCAAAAGAGCUUGAUGUAUGAGAAGAUGGAGGAUUUGGAGAGUGAUUCAUCAGGACAAGAGGAAUCAGGGGAUGGGUUCUGGAGCAAAAAGCUUAAGGAUAGGAAAGCUGUUCAGAAAAUGCGGCAUCAUUCUCCAUAUGCGGUGGGUUCAACUUUGGAUUUUCCCCAAGGACAGCCGAUGAGUAUGGAACCGGUAAAAUAUGGGAAGCAGAAUUCAAAAGGUACUUUGAAGAUGGCUGGGUCCAAAUUGCAUUCUGGGGGCCGCUUUGUGGAUAUGAAUUCUGGGCCAUAUGGUUCAGGAGUAGCUCCUCCUCGACUGAGUAAAGGAGCAGGGUAUGAGUCAGGGGUUUCUUUAUGGAGAAGGGAUCAGUUCAGUGUUGACGAUGAUGAUGAUGUUGAAGAUCCAUUGUUUGGAAUGGGUAGUCAAAGAGAUCGAAAUGCUACACGGGGUAGCAUGAUGGAAAAAUCUGGUGCUUGGAAAAUGGGAAAGAAGCCUGACUUUUUGAGAGGUGAAGAAUCAGGCAGUGAUGGUUUCAUGGGUUUGUCUAUGUCAUCGAAGCACGAUUUACAGGCCUAUGGUAAAAACAAGAAUGUAAGUCAGUUGUCAGAGGCAAAAGUGUAUACAUCAAAGCCUUUUACCAUGAGAACAUCUUAUGAGUUUUCCAAGAAGGCUAAGUAUCCUGAAAAUUCUCAGCAAACAGUUGGAGACUAUAUGAAGUCUCUGAAACACCGACCACAGCUACCACUGAAAGGAAGUCGAGCUGAAAUAUUGGAUCGUGCAGAACCAUGGUAUAACAGAACUCAAGGAGAGGCAUUUUCCAAUGAUUUGCCUUUUAAAUCUGAUGAUCGGCAUGGUAGAAGCAAAAAAUGGAAGACGGGGAAAGAGUCUCCUGAUAUCAAUUUUAGAUCAUAUAAAGCUUCCUCACCACAGAUGAGUGAUAGAUUCUUACAUUCUGAGUUCAGAGUGAAGCCUUCACAGGAGAAGAUAAGAGGGAAUUUUGUGCAGAAUGGAGGGCUAGAUAUGGCAGCAUUGAGAGGUAACAGAAAGCAUGUAAAAAAUGAAGAAACAGAAUCAGAGUCAUCUGAACAAUUUGAUGAUGAUGAUGAUGACAGCAAUCCUUUAAUGAGGAGCAAGUUAGCCUACCCCAGUGCUGUUGCUGAAGGUUCUCGAUUUUCUUCACUGAAACCUGGUCUGGAUGCUAAGAAGUCCAAAUUUAUAAAGAAAGAUAAACUAGAGAAUACACGGGCACUUGAUGGAAUCACAAAAUCCUCCAAGAUGAUGGGUGGCUUUAGUGAGCAUGCACGAAUACCAGGAACAGAGAACUACUCUUUGAAAACAAAACAGAAGGGUAAGAGGCGUGAUAACAGUCCCUUCCAUAAUUCUACUGCCAGGGUUUUGGAAGAUAGCUCUCUGUCAGGAUUGGGCAAAUUUAAAGAUGAUGACGAUAGGAAACCUAUCUACAAAUUUGGCAAGAAUGGCCAAUUACGGGGGGAACAUGGAGAAAGGAUGCACCUGUCCUCACUGAAGGCCUUUCCUUCUGAGAGAAAGCAGAAAGCAGAACUUGCCCAUGAAUUUAUUGUUGAUGAGGAUGAUGAUUCACUUGCAACACGAUUAUUGGUUAACGGUGUUAAACAGGGCAGAGUGAGGAAGAAAGGUAGGGAAAAAUCUGAGGCUUCAUUAGUAGAAUGCAACUUGGUGAUGAAGAAGAGAAAAGCGAAAGGGGAUGUGAUGGAUGUGGAUGGAAGAGAUCAGCAGCAAAUUGAUGAUUCCGUUUUCUUGAAGAAGAAGGGAAAAAGGAAACUGGAGGCUGAUGCUGUUACUACAGAUUUGGAAACUUCUGAGCCACCUGUUACAGAAGCAGGAGCAGCAGAUGUUGAGCAGGAAACUAAACCACAAAAAAAGCCUUUUACUUUGAUAACACCUACAGUUCAUACUGGCUUCUCAUUCUCCAUUAUACAUCUUCUUUCAGCAGUUCGCAUGGCAAUGGUUACUCCACUUACAGAAGAUUCAUUAGAAGUUGGCAAACCUAGAGAGGAGCAGAAUGAAAAGCAUGAAGGUGAAGUUAAUGGUGUUGUUUCUAACGAGAAUGCCGAUGUCAGUAACUCAGACCAGUCUGGGCAAGGGAAGGUGCUUUCUCUUACCAUUCAGGAGAUUGUUAACCGUGUGAGAUCAAACCCUGGAGAUCCUUGUAUUCUUGAGACACAAGAGCCACUUCAGGAUUUGGUCAGAGGAGUUCUCAAGAUAUUUUCAUCGAAAACAGCACCUCUGGGGGCAAAAGGUUGGAAGAUGCUUGUGACCUAUGAAAAAUCUACGAAAAGUUGGUCCUGGGUUGGCCCAGUGUCUCAUAUCUCAACUGAUCAUGAGACAAUUGAGGAGGUGACUUCACCUGAAGCUUGGGGACUUCCUCACAAGAUGCUUGUCAAGUUGGUCGAUUCAUUUGCAAAUUGGCUGAAAAGUGGUCAGGAAACCCUUCAGCAGAUAGGAAGUCUUCCUGCUCCUCCUGCGUCGUUGAUGCAGUUCAACCAGGAUGAGAAAGAUCGGUUCAGAGACCUAAGAGCUCAAAAGAGCCUUAACACUAUUAGCCCAAGUACUGAGGAAGUGAGAGCUUAUUUUCGUCGGGAGGAAGUCCUUAGAUAUUCCAUUCCUGAUAGGGCUUUCUCUUAUACAGCUGCUGAUGGCAAAAAAUCUAUUGUUGCUCCUUUGAGAAGGUGUGGUGGUAAGCCAACUUCAAAAGCCCGAGACCAUUUUAUGUUGAAACGUGAUCGACCACCUCAUGUUACAAUUCUCUGUCUUGUGAGAGAUGCAGCUGCCAGACUGCCUAGUAGUAUUGGCACAAGGGCAGAUGUUUGUACUUUAAUCAGAGAUUCUCAAUACAUUGUUGAAGAUGUGUCUGAUGCACAAGUUAACCAAAUUGUUAGUGGAGCAUUGGACCGUUUGCAUUACGAACGUGAUCCUUGUGUGCAAUUUGAUUCUGAGCGGAAAUUGUGGGUUUAUUUACAUAGAGAUAGAGAAGAAGAAGAUUUUGAGGAUGACGGAACUUCAUCUACAAAGAAAUGGAAGAGGCAGAAAAAAGAUCCUACUGAGCAAUCUGAACAAGCAGCAGUAACUGUGGCUUUUCAUGGGACUGGUGAUCAGGCUGGAUAUGAGUUGGGCUCCGAUCUCAAUGUUGAGCCACCAUCUAUUGAUUAUGAUAAGAUACCAGAGAGUGGUGAUGGCAGACCAAAUGCAGAGGAUAAUGUUGAUAAUAAUCAUGGGUCUGAGCAGGGUAACGCACACCACAGUCAUCCAAUGGAUUGGGAGGCUCUUGACUUAAAUCCCGUGCAAGAGAACAAGUUGCUAUGUCAAGAAAAUUCAACAAAUGAAGAUUUUGAUGAUGAAACAUUUGGAAGAGAAAGGCCAGUUGGACUCUUAAGUGCAAGCUUGUUGUGAUGAAAUUUUCAGGCUUAAAGGUUCACCUAUAUUUGAAGGCAACAUUCCAGUUGAUGGUGUGUUUUAUAGAUUGAAGGUUACAUGUAUAUUGAUUCCAGCGCGAAUGUAGAUUAGCUAGUCAAUUUGUUGAGGCCAAGAAUAUGUUUAGUGCAGGUGGAUAAUAUAAUUCUGCAUCCCAUAAAUAAUACUUUUUUUUGUUAUAUAUUUUCAUAAUUUGAUAAAAAUAGUUCAUUCUGUCCAUUGAGCAAGCAAAAUUGAUGAAUUCAUGCCUUAAAUAUGGCAUCAUAUGCCCUCGUUUCAUAUGGUCUAGAUGAGAACCCAUUUUGUGCUUUUGCUGUCAAAACAUUUAGGUGUUAGGGAGUAGUUAUGUAUAUAUUGCAUUCGGCUUGUUAGAUCAUUUAACCCUUUGAAGUAGUUAAAACUUUAUAAUAUGUCAAUGUUGGUUCCUAAUUUUUGUGUUUUUUCGGGGGUAAGAGAGAAAAGAGAGAAGUUUAUUUAGUUAUACUAGUUAUACUUUGUUUCAAUAAUAUUAAUUCUUUGUUCGAAAAGCGAUGGACUAGACAAUCUGUCAAUCUACCAACAUUUCUUUUUUAGCUUUGACCUCAUAUGCUUUUUGCAGCCUUCUAGCUAUCUUGCUUGAAUAUGCUAGUCUGCUACAGGUUGAGAUAAUUCAAGGAAUUCAUGCUCGUGUCUGUCAAAGUCCAGAAUGAUAGAAUUCUAAUUUCUAAGAGUUACUUGCUGUUGUACAUGGCAUUAAUAUAUCGUGCUGAUUGAGAAUUCCCGGCUUUAAAGGAAAGUCAAGAUCAUUUUGAUUUUGGAAGGAUGAUGUUUAUAUUAUUCUUUGCACUUGAAAGCCCCAUAGGUGGCGGCUGUGGCUUGCGGAUACUAGGAUGGACUUGCAGUUGUACUCCUAAUUUGCUAUCUGAAUUGUAUGUCUAUCUUCCUAGAGGGAUGAGAUUGAAGAAGUAAUGCAGGUUGUCUAUCCAACCUGACCUGCCGGGGGGUUCGGCGCUUCCUUUUUUUUUAUAUUUGAGACUGUUAAUUACAUAUUUUUUUAUGUCCUUUUACCUGGCCUGCUAGCCAUUCACCCCAAAUGUAGCCGAGGCAGCCGACUUGGGCUCGGUUGAUGAUAGUUAAUUUAAAACUUCACCUGAAAUGUGGGCCUCGAUGUUGGAAAAUUAGCCUCUCAAUUGGCGGAUGUGAGUGUAACCUUGCUAUGUAAAUUACGCAAUUCCAGCUUGACAUCUCUUAUGAAAUGGGCUAUAAUAAAUUGUUGAGCUACUGGAUGGUAUAGAAUAUGGCUUUGACCCAUUAACGCCGAUCAGAUUCAGGGGUAUAUUGAAAUAGAAACUUGAUUACAUUAUCCGAUUUAUACCAAAACUUUCGUCUCCAACCAGAUUAAUGCUCUACUCUUAUGAUUAUUAAUUCCUUUUCAAGUCUUUCGUUGUAUCAAUUAUACAUGUACACACAAAGGAUUUACAUAUUGCGCAUGUGAAGCGGAAUUCACAAAAUGGACUAGAGG